GCAUCGGUGGUUUAGUGGUAAAAUUAGCCGUUGCCAACUGCAACUUCGGCUAGCCCCGGGUUCGAUUCCCGGCCGAUGCA
Molecule: transfer RNA, 80 nt
Filed under: Delitschia confertaspora ATCC 74209
Lineage: Eukaryota; Fungi; Ascomycota; Dothideomycetes; Pleosporales; Delitschiaceae
Rfam family: tRNA
About the family: Transfer RNA (tRNA) molecules are approximately 80 nucleotides in length. Their secondary structure includes four short double-helical elements and three loops (D, anti-codon, and T loops).
Source: Rfam by way of RNAcentral